Molecule: ribosomal RNA, 492 nt
Filed under: uncultured bacterium
Lineage: Bacteria
Description: partial 16S ribosomal RNA
Rfam family: Bacterial small subunit ribosomal RNA
Source: RNAcentral
AGUGAACGCUGGCGGUGUGCCUAACACAUGCAAGUCGAGCGGCAGCACAGUAAGCUCUUGCUCCUACGGGUGGCGGCUGGCGGAUGGGUGACGCGUAGAUCGCCUUCCUCUUUUUCGUGGGUGAUUUCGGGGAGCAACUGAUGCUAAUACCUCAUACGAUCUACGGGUGAGAUCAACGGAGCUUCGCACUUUUCCUGUCACAUUGAGCCGGUGUCGGAUUAGCUAGUUGGCGGGGUAAGGGCACACCAAGGCGACGAUCCGUAGCUGAUCUGAGAGGAUGAUCGGCCACACUGGAACUGAGACACGGUCCAGACUCCUACGGGAGGCAGCAGUAGGGAAUCUUCCACAAUGGGCGCAAGCCUGAUCGAGCAACGCCGCGUGAGUGAAGAAGGUCUUCGGGUUGUAAAGCUCUGUUGUUGGGGAAGAACAGCUGCGUGUGUAACCCCCGAUGUCCUGACGGUACCCAAAGAGAAAGCACCGGCUAACUACGUG